AUUGAACGCUGGCGGCAUGCUUUACACAUGCAAGUCGAACGGCAGCGCGGGCUUCGGCCUGGCGUCGAGUGGCGAACGGGUGAGUAAUACAUCGGAACGUGCCCUGUCGUGGGGGAUAGCUCGGCGAAAGCCGGAUUAAUACCGCAUACGACCUGAUGUUGAAAGCGGGGGAUCUUCGGACCUCGCGCUAUUUGAUCGGCCGAUGGCAGAUUAGCUAGUUGGUGGGGUAAAGGCCUACCAAGGCGACGAUCUGUAGCUGGUCUGAGAGGACGACCAGCCACACUGGGACUGAGACACGGCCCAGACUCCUACGGGAGGCAGCAGUGGGGAAUUUUGGACAAUGGGCGAAAGCCUGAUCCAGCAAUGCCGCGUGUGUGAUGAAGGCCUUCGGGUUGUAAAGCACUUUUGGCGGGAAAGAAAAGGACUGUGCCAAUACCACGGUUCGAUGACGGCACCCGCAGAAUAAGCACCGGCUAACUACGUG
RNAcentral lists this ribosomal RNA (484 nucleotides) under uncultured bacterium. RNAcentral's name for it is "partial 16S ribosomal RNA". It matches the Rfam family "Bacterial small subunit ribosomal RNA", at positions 30 to 507 of the family's 1533-position model. The record is from RNAcentral.